GGUUUGCAUGCAGACGUAUCUGCAUCUGAUGUUGAGAAGACCCUCAAUCUGCCUGCCAGUCCUCGUCUGAUUUUGCUGGGUAUGGCAGAGCCGGCAAAUGCUGUAUGGUAGAUGAUAAGCCUAGAGGGCUGUGUUAUUUGUGAGUGUGUCCAGUCAACAUUUUUGACUGCAGUUGCAACAGUGUUUGCUGUG
This is a long non-coding RNA of Sinocyclocheilus anshuiensis, 192 nucleotides long. RefSeq lists it as uncharacterized. Lineage: Eukaryota; Metazoa; Chordata; Actinopteri; Cypriniformes; Cyprinidae. The record is from RefSeq and is a predicted model, not a curated record. The transcript has 3 exons.